This 29-nucleotide non-coding RNA is filed under the name Rattus norvegicus (Norway rat). Lineage: Eukaryota; Metazoa; Chordata; Mammalia; Rodentia; Muridae. The record is from RNAcentral.
UGGGCGGUCUUGCUUAAAGCCACAGAUGG